GACGAACGCUGGCGGCGUGCCUAAUACAUGCAAGUUGAGCGAUGAAGAUUGGUGCUUGCACCAAUUUGAAGAGCAGCGAACGGGUGAGUAACGCGUGGGGAAUCUGCCUUUGAGCGGGGGACAACAUUUGGAAACGAAUGCUAAUACCGCAUAACAACUUUAAACAUAAGUUUUAAGUUUGAAAGAUGCAAUUGCAUCACUCAAAGAUGAUCCCGCGUUGUAUUAGCUAGUUGGUGAGGUAAAGGCUCACCAAGGCGAUGAUACAUAGCCGACCUGAGAGGGUGAUCGGCCACAUUGGGACUGAGACGCGGCCCAAACUCCUACGGGAGGCAGCAGUAGGGAAUCUUCGGCAAUGGACGAAAGUCUGACCGAGCAACGCCGCGUGAGUGAAGAAGGGUUUCGGAUCGUAAAACUCUGUUGGUAGAGAAGAACGUUGGUGAGAGUGGAAAGCUCAUCAAGUGACGGUAACUACCCAGAAAGGGACGGCUAACUACGUG
RNAcentral lists this ribosomal RNA (497 nucleotides) under uncultured bacterium. Its description in RNAcentral is "partial 16S ribosomal RNA". It matches the Rfam family "Bacterial small subunit ribosomal RNA", at positions 28 to 507 of the family's 1533-position model. The record is from RNAcentral.